GACGCUGCGUGGAGGAUGAAGGCCUUCGGGUUGUAAACUCCUGUCAUGUGGGAACAAGGCCUGCGUACUGAAUAGGUGCGCGGGUUCGAUAGUACCGCAAGAGGAAGUCACGGCUAACUCUGUGCCAGCCCCCGCGGUGACUGAGCGGGCUGGCAAGGCGCAUA
This 164-nucleotide ribosomal RNA is filed under the name uncultured bacterium. RNAcentral's name for it is "partial 16S ribosomal RNA". It matches the Rfam family "Bacterial small subunit ribosomal RNA", at positions 393 to 539 of the family's 1533-position model. The record is from RNAcentral.